This 473-nucleotide ribosomal RNA is filed under the name uncultured bacterium. RNAcentral describes it as "bacterial SSU rRNA". It matches the Rfam family "Bacterial small subunit ribosomal RNA", at positions 355 to 825 of the family's 1533-position model. The record is from RNAcentral.
UGGGGAAUAUUGCGCAAUGGGCGAAAGCCUGACGCAGCAACGCCGCGUGAGUGAUGAAGGCCUUCGGGUCGUAAAGCUCUGUCGGAGGGAACGAAUGCUCCUGAAGUUAACAGCCUCAGGAGGUGACGGUACCCUCAAAGGAAGCACCGGCUAACUCUGUGCCAGCAGCCGCGGUAAUACAGGGGGUGCGAGCGUUAAUCGGAAUUACUGGGCGUAAAGGGCGCGUAGGCGGUCGAGUAAGUCGGAUGUGAAAUCCCCGGGCUUAACCUGGGAAUUGCAUUCGAUACUGCUUGGCUAGAGUGUGGAAGAGGGAAGCGGAAUUUCCGGUGUAGCGGUGAAAUGCGUAGAUAUCGGAAGGAACACCAGUGGCGAAGGCGGCUUCCUGGUCCAACACUGACGCUGAGGCGCGAAAGCGUGGGGAGCAAACAGGAUUAGAUACCCCCGUAGUCCCUGAGCGGGCUGGCAAGGCGCAU